UUGAUCCCUCGUCGUCGCCAUCUCAUCCCUUCGCCCCCAUUUUUGGGGGUGGCGGAAGAGGAAGAUCGAGCUCGGAGGAGGAGGGUUUCUGUGUUUUCAGGUGCGGAAUUUCCCCGCUUCAUUCUUCCUGAGCGGGGGAGACUCCUGCGCCGGCGGCGGAGGAAGAGCUCGGCGAGUAGUCGCUUCGCCGCCGGCUCUCGAUCGACGUGGCGGCGCUUCUUCAAGGUGAUUCUCCGCGCAGGUUCUUGCCCUCUGGUCUUCGUUUUUCCUCCCCGGCGGCUGGGGCUCGCCGGCGAUUCGGCGAUCCCUCCGAUUUGCGAUGGAGGGCUAGACCUAGGUCCCGCAGCGGGAUUGGUCCCUCCCUCCCUUCCUCCCUCCCUGUGUUUUUCGUCGCGUCGGGGAGUCUUAGACGGCUCGAUCGUCGGGGAGUCUUAGACGGCUCGAUCGUCGGGUGAACCCUCUCUCUCUCUCUCUCUCUCUCUCUCUGUCUCUCUCUCUGUCGCCUCGUGCGGUUUAGCCGAUCCUCCGAUCACUAGAUUCUUGCCGCGGCGACGAUUCCGGCCAAUGCUCGUGCGACCACUGCGACGAUGCCUCUGAUUUUGCUGCCCUUCGAGCUCUGUGGAAUCCGUUCGACUCUGUUCGGCGCUCUCGAAGUCGUCUUCUUGCGCAGGACGAUCUGCAGAUGUGAGAUGAUGCAGAUGCCCGCAGGAUAAUGAUCGUCGAUGUUAUGGCCAUUCAGACUGAACAUCCCGCGCGCUUUCCGUGGAUUCGCCCAGAAAUGCAGCAGAUUGGUUCCAUCGUCAGCUAAUUAAUCUUCUCCGACAACAUCUUGAUCAG
Molecule: long non-coding RNA, 837 nt
Filed under: Spirodela polyrhiza (greater duckweed)
Lineage: Eukaryota; Viridiplantae; Streptophyta; Magnoliopsida; Alismatales; Araceae
Description: long non-coding RNA (SPOL_LNC002456)
Source: RNAcentral